RNAcentral lists this ribosomal RNA (305 nucleotides) under uncultured bacterium. RNAcentral describes it as "bacterial SSU rRNA". It matches the Rfam family "Bacterial small subunit ribosomal RNA", at positions 338 to 658 of the family's 1533-position model. The record is from RNAcentral.
CCUACGGGACGCAGCAGUAGGGGAUAUUGCACAAUGGGGGGAACCCUGAUGCAGCGACGCCGCGUGAGUGAAGAAGUAAUUCGUUAUGUAAAGCUCUAUCAGCAGGGAAGAAUAAAUGACGGUACCUGAGUAAGAAGCCCCGGCUAACUACGUGCCAGCAGCCGCGGUAAUACGUAGGGGGCAAGCGUUAUCCGGAUUUACUGGGUGUAAAGGGUGCGUAGGUGGCAGGGCAAGUCAGAUGUGAAAGCCCGGGGCUCAACCCCGGUACUGCAUUUGAAACUGUCCAGCUGGAGUGCAGGAGAGGG